UUCAUUCAGACUACGGUGUUUGAUGUGAGUGAUAGAUAAACAUUUGGUUUAUUUGCUUCAGAUUGACAAAAUCCAUACAUUUUCAUUGUUUGUUUGAGAAAGUUUUUUUUUGUUUGGGGGGGGUGGAUGGAUGGAUUUUUGUUUUGAAUGAGCACUUUUCUUUUGAAAAAAAAGACGGAUCGGUAAGAAAGUCGAGAUAAAUAUGUAUUGGACGUGGCUGUGGGCCAGUUGUUUCCCUGCUUGGUGCAACCUCAGCAGCGCCCUGUCGUGACGUCCCAGAAGUUUAAAGUGGGCCGCGCUCUGCUCAGCGGGAGGAGAGGAGACGUACUGCCGAGAAGGGAGGGAUGCUUCUCAUCUCUUCGCUGUUACACACAUACUUGUAUCUUGAACUGACUUCGUUCAAUCGCGUAACGUUACCAGAGGACGGACCUGCCUGACCAUUAACAGUUACUUUCAAGUCGUCGAUAAGAAUCUCACAUCUUCAAACGGCCCAAGACCCAUCACCUCUCCCCGUCUAGAUCAGAGGAACAUCGGGAACACCAGCCCAUCUGUCGUGUGUCCCUGCCAACAGAGUCUCCCUGCCUCCCUGCAGCUCGUUCUCUCCACCACCCCGAGACUUCAGGAAACAUCCAGGGACAACGGUCACCACCACCGGUGAGUUAAGGUGAGCUAGAGGCUUGAAUGCCCCCCCCCCCAGGCCAAUACAUCUGUUGCAGUUCCCUUUCUUCA
Molecule: long non-coding RNA, 729 nt
Filed under: Oncorhynchus mykiss (rainbow trout)
Lineage: Eukaryota; Metazoa; Chordata; Actinopteri; Salmoniformes; Salmonidae
Description: lncRNA (ENSOMYG00000070921.1)
Source: RNAcentral